RNAcentral lists this ribosomal RNA (468 nucleotides) under uncultured bacterium. RNAcentral describes it as "partial 16S ribosomal RNA". It matches the Rfam family "Bacterial small subunit ribosomal RNA", at positions 28 to 507 of the family's 1533-position model. The record is from RNAcentral.
GACGAACGCUGGCGGCGUGCUUAACACAUGCAAGUCGAAUGGAAAGGCCCUGCUUUUGUGGGGUGCUCGAGUGGCGAACGGGUGAGUAACACGUAAGUAACCUGCCCUUGACUUUGGGAUAACUUCAGGAAACUGGGGCUAAUACCGGAUAGGAGCUCCUGCUGCAUGGUGGGGGUUGGAAAGUUUCGGCGGUUGGGGAUGGACUCGCGGCUUAUCAGCUUGUUGGUGGGGUAGUGGCUUACCAAGGCUUUGACGGGUAGCCGGCCUGAGAGGGUGACCGGCCACAUUGGGACUGAGAUACGGCCCAGACUCCUACGGGAGGCAGCAGUGGGGAAUAUUGCACAAUGGGCGGAAGCCUGGUGCAGCAACGCCGCGUGCGGGAUGACGGCCUUCGGGUUGUAAACCGCUUUCGCCUGUGACGAAGCGUGAGUGACGGUAAUGGGUAAAGAAGCACCGGCUAACUACGUG